Molecule: non-coding RNA, 369 nt
Filed under: Skermanella stibiiresistens SB22
Lineage: Bacteria; Pseudomonadati; Pseudomonadota; Alphaproteobacteria; Rhodospirillales; Azospirillaceae
Description: Bacterial large subunit ribosomal RNA
Rfam family: Bacterial large subunit ribosomal RNA
Source: Rfam by way of RNAcentral
ACCCAGUGUGUUUCGACACAUUAUCAUGUCAUGAAUACAUAGUGGCAUGAGGCGAACCGGGGGAACUGAAACAUCUAAGUACCCCGAGGAAAAGAAAUCAACCGAGAUUCCCCCAGUAGCGGCGAGCGAACGGGGAGGAGCCCAGAACCUGAAUCGGCUUGUGUGUUAGUGGAAGCGUCUGGAAAGUCGCGCAGUAAAGGGUGAUAGCCCCGUACACUAAAAUGCACAGGUCGUGAGUUCGAUGAGUAGGGCGGGACACGUGACAUCCUGUCUGAAUAUGGGGGGACCAUCCUCCAAGGCUAAAUACUCCUGACUGACCGAUAGUGAACCAGUACCGUGAGGGAAAGGCGAAAAGAACCCCGGCGAGGG